GAUGAAGGUGGCGAGCGUUGUUCGGAAUCACUGGGCCUAAAGCGCACGUAGGCGGCGGCGUAAGUUGGAUGUGAAAUCCCCCGGCCCAACCGGGGAACUGCGUCCAGUACUGCGUUGCUUGAGGAUCCAAGGGGUGCAUGGAAUUCCCGGUGGAGCGGUGAAAUGCGUUGAUAUCGGGAGGAACUCCGGCGGCGAAAGCGGUGCACUGGUGGAUUACUGACGCUGAGGUGCGAAAGCCAGGGGAGCAAACGGG
This 253-nucleotide ribosomal RNA is filed under the name uncultured bacterium. RNAcentral's name for it is "partial 16S ribosomal RNA". It matches the Rfam family "Bacterial small subunit ribosomal RNA", at positions 524 to 776 of the family's 1533-position model. The record is from RNAcentral.